GCCUUGGUGGCUUAGCUGGUGAAGCAUGCGACUUCAGCUCAGGUCAUGAUCUCUCAAUCAGUGGGUUCAAGCCCCACAUGAGGCU
Molecule: transfer RNA, 85 nt
Filed under: Felis catus (domestic cat)
Lineage: Eukaryota; Metazoa; Chordata; Mammalia; Carnivora; Felidae
Rfam family: tRNA
About the family: Transfer RNA (tRNA) molecules are approximately 80 nucleotides in length. Their secondary structure includes four short double-helical elements and three loops (D, anti-codon, and T loops).
Source: Rfam by way of RNAcentral